Molecule: long non-coding RNA, 234 nt
Filed under: Gallus gallus (chicken)
Lineage: Eukaryota; Metazoa; Chordata; Aves; Galliformes; Phasianidae
Source: RNAcentral
GUCUGUUCGCAGAGCAAGAAGGAUACCAUGCAAGGUGAUCCUGUGAAAGGUCUGACUGCAGGAGUAGACACUGCACAGCUGGGAGACUUCCUGCAUGGAGCCUGUGAAUUUGUGGGAAAGAGAUAUUCAAUACCAGUGUAUUCAUGAACAAUGAAGAAAAUGACAGAUCUGUGUUCUGAGGACAUAACAUACACCUUGUCCACAUUUCAUUUGGAUCCUUUCAAACAACUGCCA